UCAAUUUACUCCCUCACAAGAUUACAUUAUUUGUGUAUACCUUAUGUUUAUGUUUGUGUUUAAUCUUUCUUUUUAGGGUCAGCCCAGUAAACGGAGGCUUUUGUGCACCUUAGGGUGGCGCAGAAACAUUUGUUUACCGGUGGAAGGGAUACUGCCACUAUCGGUGAGAAGCUCUUGCGGGAUCCAAUGCGGUCAAAUAAAUGCACCACGAUCAUUUGCAAUGUUUUUAAUUUGUAAUGAACGUACAUAAUUGUAUUUUAGAUAAUAUACUUCUGUGUUCAAAGCACUGGUAGAUUGUAGGGUAUAUAUGAGGGUCAUUCCAGAAUUGGAGGACAAUUUAGAAAAACAGGUAAUAAACCAUAAAUGUAUUUGAUUCGUCCAGCUCAGGCAUCAAAGGCACACUUUUUAUGAGAUGUUUUAUUUGUUGUGUGCUAUGCUUGGCGCAACCCUGUUACGAAUACUCAGGAACCUGAAAAAAGUAUAUUUUAAAAUAUUGUUUAAUAAAUCCUUUACCAUUAAGUAGAGAAAGUCACAUUCACAUUGAAUACUCAUUUAAUUUCAGAUAAGACUGGACUUAUAUUAAUUUAAGCAACUUUUGAAAUCUAUCUUGCCCAACUUUUCAAUAGUCACAGGUUUUUUUUACUAAUUUCGGUAUUUAUUUUCAAAUAUUUGCUCAAAUACAUUAUGCAUAUAAUCAUUCAAACUAUCAAAAGAACAAUCGGUUAAACCCUUGUGAGCUGAGAAAAUUAUUUCAGGGUUGAAAUUAGAGUAACAGGGUUGCGCAAAGUAACGGUUGAAUGGAUACAUUACUUUUGAUUGUACAUCAUGACAUAAAUGUGACAAAUAAAUACUCUGGACCACAGGAAUGUUGUUUAAUAAUAUUUUAUAUAUCGUUUAGAUGAAGGAUCAACAGGAUGAUUGGGAAUGAUCAAAAAAAUAAACAUGUCAACAAGACCACAAACUGGAUCUGAUCAAAUAUUCAAUGGACAAACAUAAAAAAAAAAGUAAUAUUACAGUAUGCCGACAACCUGGCAUUAAAAUGAAUGAGCAUUUCAAAAAUAGUCAUGAACUGAUCAAUAUUUUAAAAAGCUGGUGUUAUAAUGUUCAGAUUUAAUUUUCGCGGCUGGCCAGAGCAUCCCAUACCUCUCUUGCGAUGGCCAUGUGGCGUGCUGUAACGUUCUCUGGGGGAGGAAUGAGGGUCGGCACAUCCUCCAAGGGAUACCAAUGGAGAUCUUCCCUCAACGGCCAGAAAAAACGUUUUUCCCCCACUCUAUGCAUACAUUUCACCUGGCAGUGGGUCUCAUUCACCUCUUGGAUGAUCCCUUGGUAGAUGGUGUGGUCGUAUACCAGGGCACACCAUUUCCCCACAACCUCUGGACUGUGCCACUCCACCUCUUCUGGUUUGCUGUAUGUGGGGUCUCCUGUGUGGUCAUCUGUGGGAUUAAAACUGAAGCACUUUGUUUUUUGGCAAUCACACUCCAGAUUCCCUGUUGCCGAACACAUGCAGCUGACGUCACGGUAGAGAAUUUUCCCAGGUGAAAGAGGGACCACCUGGUGGAGCCUCAUUGUGGAUGGUACAGCUGGAAGGUCAGCUGGCAUUUCUUUCGCUGCAUCCUCCACAGCUUGCUCCUGAAUGUAAAACAAUUUCACCUUCGAUUGUCCCUCACUUAGAGCUAGGUACAUGGACAAUGCCGUAGGAAUAUCAACUCCUUGGGUGACAAGCCUGUUGGCCCUCCUCUUCAAUGUGCCACCCACACCAUCUGGGGCGCCUUUGCCAUGGCUGGCUUCAAAGUAGUUCCAGGUUCCUCUUGUAAACCCCUUCCUGAAAAUGUCAACGCUGCUUGUACUGUGUGCAGGGGCCGUCGCUAAAAAAAUGGAUGGUUGUCACAUCCGGGAAUCUCUCUCGGAUUUCCCUCAGGAUGGGCUCCAGGUGUUGCCAUAUGGCAGGUGGUCCCUUCAGUCCGGAUGCCGAUACAGUGCAAAAGGAGGUAGGGGCAGAUGCCCCCCCCACAUAGUAAACCCCAGUGUGCAAAGUGGCCUGUUGGUGUGAUGCACCAAAAUGGACAGCUUGUACUUCAGCGCUGUACUUGCAGCCGUAGUUCUCUGAGAAGUCAAUAUGGACUGCACAUUCAUUUGCAGGGAGGUUCAGCUUUAGGGCCCGUGAGACAGCAUAUUGCUGCCUGAUGUUAUAGAGAUGGCGCCUGAACUUCUGGAGCAAAAUGGCAAACGUUUCCACCAGCUCUUCUUGGGAGCAUUCAAAUUCUUUUUUCAAAGUGACCUUUGAGGCUGCUCCAGGAUAAUUGUUGUGCUCUUUGUCCACAGUGGCCCACUGAAGGUAGGAGACACGAUCGGUGGCUCUGUAGUGGCUUGUGAGUGCAUAGGUAUUAUUGCUGCAUUCCUCACAUUCCCCAUACAUUCAUUGCUUGCUUGUGGUGUCACAUGUGAUGGCUUGUGUCAGGCUCUCCAAAUUGGAUGCGUCGAUGUGCAUCUGGUGAAGCUUUUUGGCAAUAAAGCCUAGAUUUUCAUGUGGUUUGCACAUGCAAUGUUGGAUGCACAACCCAGUAGGGGCGAAAUGUGCAGAACAGUGAGUAUGAUAGACGGAGGUUGGUCUGCUCAGCAAGGAACCUCAAAUGGAGGUUCUUCAUUGAAUCCACCAGUAAUCUUUUCUGCAUUUUCUUCUUUUCUUUUGUCACCGAUUGCUUUUUUCCAGUUGUGAUCCUGCUGACAUCAUCACCUGAAAAGAGCAAUCUCCCCGUUCAGCAUGGCAGCAAUCCCCUUGUGCUUCUUCCUCUGGUACCUGCAGACAUUUUCAUUUGCCAGUUUUGUACACCUCCUCCUCGAAAAUCCAAAAACCUGUUCUGCCAACCUCUACAGCCUGUACUUCUUCAGGAUUUUGCUGGUGACUAUUCCUGCAAUGACUUGUCUGUCACUCUCUCUCUUUGAAUGUGCGUACUUGGUACGUACUUCCUCAGCUACUGCUGUAUGGAACAUCAGGGUUCUCCUUAGGGAUGUGCCCGAGAUUUCCCGAAGCAACUUGUUGACUUUGGAUCUUGGAGAUGGAUGGUCCUUUUUUGAUCGUUGGAGCCGCUUUCUGUAUUUUUAUGCUUGUUUUUCGACUUUACUCAACUGAUCCAGUAGUUUCUGCAACUCCCUGUUUAAUUUUGCUUUGGCAGCCCUCCUUUUUCUUCUCCCAAGAUCACGUUGCCUAAAAUAAACAUAUAAACACUUUCAUUAUUGAUUUCACAGUAGCAACUUAUUUGAGGGUAGUUACCCAGUGUAACCCAUAUGGAAUAUAGGGCUACUAAACCCAUGAUUAUUUAAAGAUGCAAUUGCAUGAGUUCUCCAGUAGGGCGCGCUCAACAUGAUUCCAGUAACAGGAAAUUGCACGUGAGCACCCCGUUUCGAGGGGGUCACCUUGAACCGUAACACUGGAAAGACGUUAGAGAGGUAUUAAGCACAACAGAGAAUCUCCCGGAUCUGAUCAUUGAAAAUACAGGAAACUACCGUGAAUUAUAUUGUUCACUUGAAUCUCCGGUUGGUUUUUUAUGUUUGAUCAAAGGAAGAUUGCAUCUACGAUGGCGAGCUUUGCCCAAUAGAACUGUGGAUGGUGUGGAUACGGCGUGGCCAGCCGUGAACACCACCAUAGAAGACCCUUGUGAAGAUCCAUUCAGAACAGAUAAGACAUAGAAAUAGAUACACACUAACCUACCCGGGUAGUAGUAAGAGAGAAACACACACAUCCGGAUAUCCCCCCCUUGAACUCGACAUUCCUCGACUGAACAACUCCUUCCCAAGGAGUACUGUAGCUGGGGAAUCCAGCUACAAAGGACUUAUUCUUUUGAUUUUGUUUGUUUGUUUUUUAUUUUCAAAAGCUUUAUUUUGUACCAAAUGUAAUGUAAUGUAAUGUAAUGUGUUAUGAUGAAAGGCAUUAAAAUAGCUCAUCUAUUCAACCAACACCAACUCCCUUCGUGAGUCAUUAGUGUUUAACUUCUUUAAGGACCUAGAGUGAUGCUAGCAUCCUAUCUGCCCCUUCCAGCUAAGACCACGGGUGCUACACCAGUAAUUAAUAGAUACAUAUGUAGUAAGUAGUAGCAAUACAUGCUGCAUGCAGUGGUACUUGAUAGUCAUAGCAAACAUCAUACUGAUAGCUACGAUACUGUUUCAUUAUCGAAAAUGGAUAUCUUUUGACUUGUAAUAAUUAAGGAUUAUACCUAUCAAGUAAAAGAGAUGCCUAUUUCACUGUUCAUUGUACAGAUACAGUUCCUUUACCUUUCUUUACAUAUCCUUAUGAUCUGUGCUUACACUCACUUGCAUUCCUUAAUAACCUAAACUUAUGUCCUGACCUGGAAGUCCCAUGUUGAGAGCUGACUGGAGAUUCUGGCCUGACCCGAAUUUCUGGCCUGGCUGGAGGAUCAGGGCUGACAGGAGGGGUGUUUAAUCCUUCAAGUACCUUUUUCCUGGCAUUACUCCUCUUGUGAGCCUUUUUCCACCUUUUUCGCUGGGCACGCUGCGCUCUCACACUGCAGUCUUUUUGCUUUUUCUUCUUCCCUGUUUCUACAUCUUUCCUCCACUUCUCUUUCUCUUCUUCUAAGUACUGCUGUCUCCUCUGUUCAUCAGCAUCAAGCCUGGCACGGUAGCGCCUCUGCUUUUCAGCAGCGCUCAAUGGUGUGCAAGAACUCUGUAGAAAUCAAUUUUAAAUUGAAAAAAUUUCCUACCUAUUGAAAAUGAUGUGAACAUGAUUUAAACCCAGUGAAGUUCAUUUUGAGUUAAUAAUCCCAUCCAGGUAGUUGUCCAAGAAAAAAAAUGGCAAUUUAUAUUCUGGAAAAUAUGGUAAUACAUUUAAAACAUGUAGAUCAUGCUAAA
Gadus chalcogrammus (walleye pollock) is the source of this 4863-nucleotide long non-coding RNA. RefSeq lists it as uncharacterized. The record is from RefSeq and is a predicted model, not a curated record. Lineage: Eukaryota; Metazoa; Chordata; Actinopteri; Gadiformes; Gadidae. The transcript has 3 exons.